RNAcentral lists this long non-coding RNA (3548 nucleotides) under Macaca fascicularis (crab-eating macaque). Its description in RNAcentral is "lncRNA (ENSMFAG00000056087.1)". The record is from RNAcentral. Lineage: Eukaryota; Metazoa; Chordata; Mammalia; Primates; Cercopithecidae.
UCCUCUGCCACAAAAGACCUUUAAUGGCUUCCUAUUUAUUAUUCUUUUGUUCAUUUGUUAGAGUUGAAUAAACUAUAAUAAUUUGUCUGACAUAAGAAUGCCACAGGUAUAACAGAUACACCUGGCAGGUGGUCCAGGAAUGAGAGUGUCACAAAAUAAUCACUCAACACAAGGGCCACAGAGCUGCAGAUUCUUCCCAGCCAUCCCUCACUCCUGCCCCAGGACACAAUCCAUGCAGGCCCCCAUUCCAUAGGAAGAGGCAGGUCCCAUAGCGUCUGUGGCUAGACCUUAACACGGAGCAGAGAUGCCCGGGAAGACGGCACUUCCUAUGCUCGUUCCCAAGUGCUCUCCUCAUCUGCCAUGCAGGUCAGGACCACACCCCGAGUUUGUGAGGCACCCACUUCUUAUACCCACCACCUCAUAUGACCACCUAUCAUACCCAACUCUCCUAUGACCCUUGCAAUUGUCCCAGUGAGGUGGGAAGAGCCUGGCACUAGCCUCAUUUUACACACAGGGAAACUAAGGACACACUCGGACCUAAUGUAAUACACCCAUGUCAUGCGCUUGCUGUGCCCUGAGCUUCACAUUUUCACCUAGAAUUCCUUGUGGGGUGGGAGUGGGGGGCAGGGCAGGCAGGACUUUGUACCACGGGCUGAUCCAUGUCUCACUAAAGUGUACAGGAUUCCUGGGGGAAUCCUGCCCUCAAAGGAGGGAUUUUGUCAUAAAAUCCUCCCUGAGUCUGUCUUUUAUGUGAGCCAAGAUUUCCAUCCAUCUGGCUCUGUGUAAAGAUGAAUUUAACCCUAGGCUGUCUCUCCAUCACACUGCUUCUCCUGCUGUCCCUUGGACCUGGGCCAGGAAAGUGGGGUGUCAGGCAGGGGUGCAGACACAAGUCCUAGGUGGGGGAUUGAGCCUCUUUCCUUGCUGCAGAGCUCCCCAUGCCUCAUGGGCCAAUAUCAGGGUCAAGACCCAUCCCCACUGAGCACCAGGUCCCUGUUCAAAUCAAAUCUUGGCCAGAGCUUCAGGGUGGGUUGGCUAGAAAAAACAUCAACUAUGUACGUGUGUGUGUGUGUCAGGUUCCAACACAAAGACACUUUGUACUGGAAUGCUGGAGCCAUUCCAACAUGAGCAGCAAGAAUAGAACCUGUGCUGGCUGGUCUAAGAUCAAACCUGGAGAUGGUGGUUUGAAGUUUUUCUUCAAAGAAAGCUUGAAAAUGAAAUCUCAGUAGGCAAGACAAAUAAAAGCAGAGUUGUUCUGGUGGAGGUGGAAAUGGGAGGAGGGCUGGAAACCUAUCCUUUACCUCCACUCCCAUCUUCCCACCUUAGCAUCCCCUGACAAAGCUCUGUGGAAUACCAGGGGUUCCGCAGCACCUGGUUUGAAAACCACUGUAUCGGCCGGGCGUGGUGGCUCAAGCCUGUAAUCCCAGCACUUUGGGAGGCCGAGACGGACGGAUCACGAGGUCAGGAGAUCGAGACCAUCCUGGCUAACACGGUGAAACCCCGUCUCUACUAAAAAAUACAAAAAAUCUAGCCGGGCGAGGUGGCGGGAGCCUGUAGUCCCAGCUACUCAGGAGGCUGAGACAGGAGAAUGGCCCGAACCCGGGAGGCGGAGCUUGCAGUGAGCUGAGAUCGGGCCACUGCACUCCAGCCUGGGCGACAGAGGGAGACUCCGUCUCAAAAAAAAAAAAAAAAAAACCACUGUAUCAGUGUCUACAAACCAUGGGCCCCACAGACCUGUGCUUUGACUUCCCUUUUGGGGUGACGAGUUGGGAGUGUGAUGGGGGGAGGAUGUUUCCCCUUCAACAGGGCCUCUCUUUGAAGCCGCUGUGCAGUGACCCUCUGGGGAAGUGGUAGAGGCGGGGAUCCUGCAACUUUAGUCCAGAAGGGAUGGCAGAAGUGAUGGAGCUGCCUGGGCCAGGAAGACACACCAGGCCCAAUGCAGGCCGUAAGGCCAUAUAGAUGAGGGUUCAGGAGUCUGUUUUGGUCCUUUUGAGUUUAAAAAAUAUACGUAUCAGAACAGGCAUAGGCCUAUGUCCAUGAGACCCUUUAAGAGUGUAAGACUGGGACCUAAACCCUUCCUCCUGGAUGGAUGGAGAACAACCAGUCCCCAGUGACUGGCAGGAGAGAAGCUGCCGCUCUGGACUGCUGACACCACUGGGGGAAUGCAUCCGCUGUGGCUCAGCUCUCAGGGCAAAAGGCUUAGGUUUUCCCUGGGCCUGAAACCCUCCCAAUGUCACUGAGAAGCCGUGGUAGCUCCAGCUGAUCCCACAAGAGGCCUUACACUUUCAAGGGAAGGAACAGGCAAUUUCUAUUUCUCCUUGCCCUUAGAUUUUCUGCAGAUGGGUGAUUUCAGCUCCCUGAGCCUGGGGGCUGGUGGCUCUCUUUAACCUGGGGUCAGAGCUAAGGCCCCUUGGCCUCUGUGGGGUUCUGACAGAUGGGAGAUGUGACUCCAGACCUACGAGGGUCCGAGAUGUCCGCCUCCACCACUCACUGACAAUAUCCAUGUCUUCCCUCUGUGUCCUGGUUGAUGGGACCACUAUUUUUGGGCAUGAUAUUCCUGAAUCGUGUCUAAAUUUCCUGCUCAGCUAGGUCAUCAAAGCCAAAUUAGCUGUGUCUCAUUCUGGUUGACAUCUACCUAAGUGAGAAGCAGGGCAAGUGAUGAAGACUGGUGGGGAGGGCUUCUCCCGCAGCAAACUUCCUGUGUGACCUUGGGCCAUCCCUGCAGUGGCAGGGCCACACCCAUGCAGCCAUGUUCAACUUAGAGCCCUGACCGCUGACUUUCGUCUCAUCUGGGCCUCAUAACAAUUCCUGCGUCAGGAAGGGAAGGGAUUAUAAUCCCAUUUUACAGUUAGGGAAACUGAGCCCCAGAGGUUGAGUAGCUUGCCCAAGUCCCCCAGGUGAUUGGUGACAGCCAGGACUGAGAGGUGGCAUUGGGGACCUCCAGGACAGAAUUCCUUUUACUGCACCACGUAGGAACCAGCUUGUCAGGAACUCUCCCACAAAACCAGCAGCCAGGUGAACCCACUCUAGCAGGGCUGAGCUUUGACGCUGAGGUGCAGCCAAAUAACUCAGUCCUCAUUUUCGUGGGGACUGAACUCUUCCCCUGGGUGGAAUGCUGAGGAGGGCCAGCUGGCCCUCUGCUCAGUGGGUUUUCACCAGGCCAUGCUCUUCCUUCCUGUCAAGACUGGUGUCCACACGCCAUCCACAGGGUGCACUACAAAGUCCCGGUGAUGGAUGGCUUGGCCAGCGCAGGCCCCAAAUGCUUGGUAUAGAAACCGCCAGUACUGUGGGCUGGUGCCUGGGGCCUAGUGAGGCUCCGCCACCUCUAGUUUCACUUCAAGGUCUCACCUGGACAGACUGACUCCAGAAGGGAAAGGGGCCCUGCAGAGAAGCACUCACUUGGCCAUGUUUGGGGGCUGGGAGGUGGUGCCUGGAGUUGACCAGAAGCUUGGAAACAUGACCUGGUGCUUCCUCUCCAGGAAGAAGCUGAAGGAAACACUUUGGUCUGUGUGUCCCUCGAGGCUGCAGCACAUGGCUGUGUAGCAGGGCAC